Molecule: long non-coding RNA, 1108 nt
Organism: Cyprinus carpio carpio
Lineage: Eukaryota; Metazoa; Chordata; Actinopteri; Cypriniformes; Cyprinidae
Source: Ensembl
CUGGACCAUAAACAUCUAUUUUUCUAUGUUUAUAAUUUAUACAUUUGUAUAAUAAUUGCUUUGAGUAUUCAUGUAUUUAUACAGGAACUGAUCGAGAAUUGGAAGUCCAUACUUUAUCACAUUACAGGUGUGCACAGUUGGUUUAAAGAAGGAAAGCAGAAAAAAUGUGUACACAAUGAUCUCAGUCCAGAACAGCAACGCAGAAAAAAAUGGCUUGGAAAAGACUCACGUGCCUUCCACACACUGCAGAGUCUUGUUCUGGACAAAGGACUUGAAAAGGAUUUGAGGCAAAUGGCUCUUUUCAAACACACUGGACAACUGGAGGUGUUUCAUUCUGUCCUACUGAAAUACUGCCCAAAGAACCUGCAUUUUCAUUAUGCAUCCAUGGUUGCACGAACACAACUCGCUAUCCUUGACCAUAAUGAAAAUGUAGGUCGUCAGCAAGCAACAACCACUACUGGUGCAUCUCGGUACAAAGUGGUUUUCCCCAAACAUACCAAAGAAUGGGUAGCCAAAACGAUUUUUACACAAACCACUCAAAAAUUCAGAGAGUCUCUGGUUGAGAAAGUUGUACAGCGGCGGCUGGACACCAACGUUGUUUACAAGGAAAGUUCUUGUCGUUUGACUCAUCAUCACCCAUUGCCACAGAACAUAGCCCUAACAACAAGGCCUGACAAGCAAGAAGUAAUUGCAAAGCGUUUAUCACGAUUUGGACACUAAUUUGCUUUAAAAAUGUUGAAGUCUUUUAUAGUUUUUUUUUUUUUUUUUUUAUUUUUCAGAUUUUUUUCUUAUUGAGGCAAAAACAGAAAACACUGUUGGUGAAACAAACAAAAUAUUUAUGGUGUUAGUGUGAAAUAUAUGGUCCUUACUGAUGGUACCCCACAUCAGUUGGAAUUAAACAUCAACGAAUGUAUUUCUCAAAUUUGUUUUAUUCUUCCAAAAUAAACAUUUGUGUGAGACAUCAAUAAGUAUGUAGUGUUGAUGUAUAUACAACAACAAAUAACAUUGACUAUGCAAAAAAAAAAAAAAAAUACAGCAAUUACAGUAACAAAAACACUAACCAAGCCACAACAAAUUAUAAUGUAUAUAAAAAAUGUAACAUUGUAAU